CUAGACUUGACAUCCCCUGCAUAACCCAGAGAUGGGCGAAGUCCUUCGGGACAGGGUGACAGGUGGUGCAUGGUUGUCGUCAGCUCGUGUCGUGAGAUGUUGGGUUAAGUCCCGCAACGAGCGCAACCCUUAUCAUUAGUUGCUACCAUUAAGUUGAGCACUCUAGUGAGACUGCCCGGGUUAACCGGGAGGAAGGUGGGGAUGACGUCAAAUCAUCAUGCCCCUUAUGUCUAGGGCUACACACGUGCUACAAUGGUGAGUACAAAGAGAUGCAAGACCGCAAGGUGGAGCCAAACUCAAAAACUCAUCCCAGUUCGGAUUGUAGGCUGCAACUCGCCUACAUGAAGCCGGAGUUGCUAGUAAUCGCGAAUCAGCAUGUCGCGGUGAAUACGUUCCC
This 397-nucleotide ribosomal RNA is filed under the name uncultured soil bacterium. RNAcentral's name for it is "bacterial SSU rRNA". It matches the Rfam family "Bacterial small subunit ribosomal RNA", at positions 975 to 1375 of the family's 1533-position model. The record is from RNAcentral.